CGGAGGGUCCAAGCGUUAUCCGGAAUCAUUGGGUUUAAAGGGUCCGUAGGCGGUUUUGUAAGUCAGUGGUGAAAGCCCAUCGCUCAACGGUGGAACGGCCAUUGAUACUGCAAGACUUGAAUUAUUGGGAAGCAACUAGAAUAUGUAGUGUAGCGGUGAAAUGCUUAGAUAUUACAUGGAAUACCAAUUGCGAAGGCAGGUUGCUACCAAUACAUUGACGCUGAUGGACGAAAGCGUGGGGAGCGAACAGGAUUAGAUACCCUGGUAGUCCACGCCGUAAACGAUGGAUACUAGCUGUUCGGAGCAAUCUGAGUGGCUAAGCGAAAGUGAUAAGUAUCCCACCUGGGGAGUACGUUCGCAAGAAUG
This 366-nucleotide ribosomal RNA is filed under the name uncultured organism. Its description in RNAcentral is "bacterial SSU rRNA". It matches the Rfam family "Bacterial small subunit ribosomal RNA", at positions 526 to 896 of the family's 1533-position model. The record is from RNAcentral.